This is a long non-coding RNA of Pan troglodytes (chimpanzee), 1119 nucleotides long. RefSeq lists it as uncharacterized. Lineage: Eukaryota; Metazoa; Chordata; Mammalia; Primates; Hominidae. The transcript has 2 exons. The record is from RefSeq and is a predicted model, not a curated record.
AGUCAGCACCAGGAACAUCUGCUCUGGCCUUGUGUUUGCUGCCUCUUCCCCACAGCCUUCCCACUGGGGUGAUGGGUUAGACAGCUCCCAACCCCACAGGCAGGGCCUCUAUGCUCCAAACCUGGAGAAGCAUCCUGAUGGCUUUCCAAAGAGCUAUGCUAAAGACAGGCCCAGAGACUAUGACCUGGGGCUUCCACAUCAGGGAUUUCCAGGGGUCUCUGCACAGAGAAAGCUUUACCAUCUCUUGGCUUCAGUCUUUUACACCUGUCUCAAAAAGGAAGAAAAGGCCAUGCGUGGUGGCUCACACCUGUAAUCUCAGCACUUUGAGAGGCCGAGGUACAUUCUCAUCUCUACCUCACGCAACAGUCUUUUAAUCAUCUUUAUGGAUUUCCUCUGAGCCCUCCACAAGUUUGAAGGAACACGGAAUAAGGUCCUGAAGAUCUGUUUUCUGUUGCUGCAAAGAUGGGAGGGAGAAAAAAGUCUUUGUUGAUGAGAAAGGGGAAUAAUGAAGCUAAACAUGUAGAAUAAACUAGAUUUCUCUAGAGAAAAUGGCCUUGGCCGUUCUGUCUUUGUUGAAAUGAGACGCAAGAAGCAAGAGGAGGUACACCAUCUGCUACUUGGAGAAACGAGGAGGCCUCUGUUAUUAUCUUAUGCUGAUGAACGGCCACAGAAGAACAUAUAUUUUUGGCAUCAUUGUAUUAAUUAAAAGUUAUUCAUUGAAGACAAAGCUCAAAAGGCUAAAUUGGGAGAGACAGAGGACACUGGAUGACAUAAUCGCAAUCUUUAAAGAUCCCAGAAAGCCAAACUCAGGCUUUCUGCAGGUAAGGGCAUGCACUUCAGCAGGGACAGAUGCAGUGUCCUGAAUUUCGGGCCCAGACCUAAGGUUCCUUGAACACGAUGACAAAGAUAGGCUUAACCACCAGAUGAGAAGUGACGCAGCAGGGUUUUCAGCUGAUGGAAGCUCUCCAUUUUAUGUCUGCCUCUUGUGAAGAACUGCCUAUCCCUCCCUGUGGUGGGCUGCCAAAUGCUGCCAAAUGCCACAUUUGUUCCAUGUGGAGACUGGGCAGUGGGUGGGGCUUACGGCAAUCUUCAAAUAUUUAAGGAUCUACCCAUGUGAAA